AAAUAAUUUAUUAAAAAAAAGUAGUACAAAUGAAAUAAGUAAUAUGACACUAGGAAUAGAUGCGCUAUAUUUUUUACGGACGUUAGAUGACUUGAAGGACACACUUAGCAAUGUUUCUGGAUGUAUAUCUCCAUGUAUAUUUCAUAUUAUAGAUAAUCAGUGUGAGUAUUUUAAAAAGUUAAAUAUUAAUGUUAUAUUUGUAUUUGAUGGUAUAACCCCUAGGUCCCACAAACUAUUUUAUGCACAGUAUUAUAGGAAUUUAGAAGAAGGUUGGAAUUAUUAUGUUAACGGUGAAAUGAAUUUAUCAAAACAAAAUUUUUCUAAAGUAUCUAACAUAUAUAAUACUGACUUGGCUUUUUUAUUAUUCCAUUAUUUAAAAGGAAAAGGAUAUAAAUGUAUAUAUGCACCAUACCUAGCAAUAUCACAAUUAGCUUAUUUUGUUUAUACAAAUUUUGUAGACGCAGUAUUAGGACCACCUACUAUAGUUUUACAUAACAUUCCAAUUGUUAUACUUAAUAUUGUUUGGAAAAAAAAAUACUUUGAAUGGUUAGAUUUACCAAUACUAUUAAAACAAUUGGAUAUUAACAGAGAGCAAUUUAUAGAUGCUUGUUUAUUAGCAGGAACAGAAUAUUGCUUAACAUAUCCGUAUUUAAGUUUAUCUCAGUUUAACAGUGGUAUGAACGAUUUUAAUUUUGGAACGGCAAUAGAAUUCAUAAAACAAUCACCUUUAAUUAGUUAUUUACAACAUUUUCCAAGUGAGGCCUUAAAAAAUACACAUAUAGAAGGAUAUUGUAUUUGUAAAUCUUUAAUAAAAUAUCCUAUUGUUUUGUUAGCCAAUGGACAAAUUGAUAUUUAUUUAUGUGACGACAAUAACAUUAUUUCUUCUACUAAUGUAUUAGAAUCUGAUUAUUUGACUACAAACAUGAUUAGCAAAGAAGGGGAAAAGUGUGCUGUAAAAAGUGAUAUUAAUAAUAAUCGUAGUGAUGGUAAUAAUAGUGGUGGUAGUAACAGUAACAGUAACAGUAACAGCAACAACAACAGCGUCUGUAGUAGUACGCAGGUCCAAGAAAAUAUGCAGGAAGAUGCAGAUUAUAAAAAUGAAAAAACAGAUGAAAAAAAAAAUGAAAAAAAAAAUGAAAAAAAAAANNNNNNNNNNNNNNNNNNNNNNNNNNNNNNNNNNNNNNNNNNNNNNNNNNNNNNNNNNNNNNNNNNNNNNNNNNNNNNNNNNNNNNNNNNNNNNNNNNNNGAAAAAAAAAAUGAGAACACAGUAAAUACAAAAAAAAAAGAUACAAACACAUUAAAUGGUAAAUUAGAAAAUGAAAAUCAAGUGGAUAAUAAUGUAAAUCAAAAUAUUUUAACAUGUAACGAAGGAAGUGAAAAACAAAAUGAAGAACACAAUUUUGAUAAAUCUAAUAAUGAUAUUAUUAUCGAUAGUAAAAAAAAAAUUAAUUCCGAAAGCGUUGUUAAUGUAAUAAAUUCAAAAAACAACCAAGUGAAUAUAUGUGGCAAUGAAUGUAACACAGAAGUCAAAGAUAGUACUAUUGAUUCUAAGACUGCUACUGCUACUGCUACUGCUGCUGCAACUGAUACCGAUAUUAGUAGUAAUCAUAAGAAUUCGGAUGCGUUGUCUAGCUGUACAUCGCAACGUUUAUCCCAGAAUGAGAUAACUAAUAGUAGUGGCAGUAACAAGAAAAACAAAAGUAACAGCAACGGUGGUAACAACGACAAAAUAAACCAUAAAAGUGAUGAAUAUGAAUACAGCCACGAAGCCAAUACUGCUUCUGUUGCUGCUGCUGCUGCUACUACCGCUACUACCGCUACUACCACUACUACUAAUAAAAGCAGCAACGACAACAUAGUAGAUAACGUUGAAAAAGGCACAAACACAAACAUGAUCCAAAACAGUUUUACUGAUGAAAUUAAAAAAAAAAUCAACGAAACGACAAUGACAACGGCAACGGCAACGGCAACGGCAGCGAUAACCACAACCGAAUCCAAAUGUACAAGCGAUGACAAAGUUACAGCAAAUAAUAAUAAUAAUGAAAGUGGUUAUGAUGUUAAUAAUAAAAGUGUUAAAUUGGUGCCAUAUGAUUAUAUAAAAAUAAUAGGUGUAAAAUUACCUGCAUCUGUUUAUUAUUUAAUGUCUAUUGGUUUUUUAAGUAAAAAAAUUUUAUGCGUAUUAGCUUUAGGAGAGUGGAUUGAUUAUGCACAUCCAAUUAUAGAUUCAUUUGAAUACAGAGAAUCAUUAAUAGAUUUGAGAGAGUAUAGAUGCAAGAUAUUAGGAUUAGUUUCAAGUAAAUUAAAUCCUUAUUUUUAUAAAAGAAAAAUAAAAUUUUUCGAUUUCGGUUAUUAUAUUAAUAAUAUAUUAGAAUUAAAUAAUAAUUAUGUAUAUUUAGACAUUGAUAUGAUGGGUCGGUUUUGGUGGAAUAUAAAUAAAAAUAAUGUAAACGAAGAAAUAAAAAGGCAAAAUAUAACUAAAGUUAAUUUACAAUUUAUAUUAAAGUGGCACCUAUAUUCAGAAAGUAAAAAUAUAUCGUUAGUAAAUGAAUCGAGGGAAGAAGAAGAAGAAGAAGAAGAAGAUGAAGAAAGUGUUGAUGGGGAUGAAUAUGAAGACGAUGUUGAAGGAUAUGACGAUGAUAAGACAUAUUCAAGCCAAGACCAAACAAGUGAAAACAUGCGGAAAAUGAAUAAUAAGAAUAAAAAAACAAAAAGAACAAAAAGAACAAAAGAAUCAGAAGGUAACAAAUUGAGUAGUGAUGAGGAAGAAGAGCAAUACAAAUACAAACAUUAUGAUAAACGAGUAAAAAGAUAUAAUGAUUAUUAUAAAAAUUUAUUAAUUGUACAAAAUCAGAACUAUAAUAGUAUUUUAUGUUUAGUAUAUUUUAUGUUCCUUGAAAAUAUAGGAUUGUUUACCAAAAAUUGUGGAGUGACCUUAUUCGGUCUGAUAUUAUCUGAAGCGAAACAUAAAAACAUGGAUAAUACGAUUUUAAUAAUUUUUGAAUUACUUAAAUUAGGUUUUUUAACAACUGAACCUAUUUUAUUACCUAAUGGUAAAUCUUACCUUGAAAAUGCAUAUGCUCCUGUUAUGCAUAAUAAAUAUUUAAAAGAGCAAGACAAAAAAAGUGUUUUAUUAUUAUCUAGGAUAUAUUCAUUAUAUAAUGCAAGUCGAGAUGAUAAAAAAGCUUAUGAUGGACUAAUUGAUUUUGAUUUAUGUGCUUUUUUUGCAGUUAUAAAAAUAAUUAAAAAAACGUUAAGACAAUUAAUGCAAGCAUGUGUUGCUAAUGUACUUAUAAGU
Long non-coding RNA from Piliocolobus tephrosceles (Ugandan red Colobus), 3295 nucleotides. The record is from Ensembl. Lineage: Eukaryota; Metazoa; Chordata; Mammalia; Primates; Cercopithecidae.